Fopius arisanus is the source of this 2033-nucleotide long non-coding RNA. RefSeq lists it as uncharacterized. Lineage: Eukaryota; Metazoa; Arthropoda; Insecta; Hymenoptera; Braconidae. The transcript has 4 exons. The record is from RefSeq and is a predicted model, not a curated record.
AUUUAGCCGUUCCUCAAUUCCAAAUAUUUAAUUACCAAUAGGAAACUUGCCGAAUUUCAAGUUGAUUCGGCAAUUUCUCAAAACUUUAGCCUGCUAACAAUUUUUUUUUUGAAAAACCAGAACAAUUGGAAUGUCUCAUGAACUACUGAGCCGAUUCAGUUAUUCUUUAAUACCAAACAUUUCAUUGCUAAGAGGAAGUUUCAUGCCAAAUUUCACAUUCAUGAAUGAAUUUUUCGCUACGUUACCGUGCUAACAAACUUUUUGUGCUUUUUGGACAAAGCAGAAAAAUUAAAAUAUCUCGAAAACUUAGUCACAAUAGAUAUACAUAUUUUGAUUGAUUGAAAUAGUAUACAUCGAGACGAAUAUUUUGACAGGUGAAAAGUUGAAAUCGAUUGGAUAGUUUUCGCGAUAUUUGCGGCAACUAAUUCAGAAACAAAUGGCCAUUUAUGGAAAACGGCUGAACCAAUCAGCCUGAAUUUUGGCACAGACUUACUUUAUAGUAAUACCUGUACUUAUAAUCUAUUUUAUAUAUUAUAUUUUAAUUUAUAUUAUAAAUAAUUUUAGCCGUUUAUUCCUUUAAUUUUCUAAGAGUGCUCCGAGUUGGCCUUGUACGCAUAUACACAUGUGUUCAAAUUUUGUAUUUUUACGUUUCAGAUCAUUCUACAUCACUUCCAAGCAGAAUUACAAAAUUUGAAAAUUUGACGAUUAUGAAGCUUCUAUUCGAAAGCAAAAAUUUGAAUACAGCUCCGAUUCAAUAUUAACAUGAGUAAAUAAUGCUAAUUAUUGAUUAAAACAGCGGAAUGGUUGCAUUGAGCAAAAGGUCGUGGCGACGUUAGUUAUUUAGUCGAAUGAUAUGCAAAUGUAGAACGUUAUAUCUUUGUUUUAAAUAUUUUUGGGUCAUGUGAACAUAACAGAUGAUAUUGGAAAAGGGUUUUUCUAUAUUUUUAUCCAAUUUUGCGCAAGGUUGUAUGCAGGGCUUUUUCGCAAUUUUAAUUAAACGACGCAAAAGAUCGUGCUGGUAUUUCUUCAUAUUUUCAUUCGUCAGAUUCCCUUUUUCCGUCCUAGGCGUGAAAUAUACUAUUUUGCCAUGGCUACGAUACUAUUUUAUGUAAUUGUGGCCGAAAUCACGAGUGUAACUGAGCGAAGAGAGGUUAGAAACAUGUUUUAUUGAACGCAAUGACAUCGAAAUAUUUCACUCGGUGAAUAACACUAUUAAAUUCAAUCUGUCAAUUUCAAUCAGCGGUUAACGUAAUCCAACAGUUUUUUGUAUCAUCUAUGGAUGAUUCCACGGAAAUAGUGAUUACCACGAAAUCACUCUUUUCAUCAUCAUUACCAGAUAACAUUCUUGGAGAUGAAUAACUUUUCAGAGUAUGUGAUUUACCAGUUGGUGCUGCUAUUCAAGAAUAUUUAUAUCAGUAUCGUGUCUUAAAUAAAGUAUUCAUUGAUCAUUUGCUCCACCAUACACGAAAUUGAUAUACGAGACAUUGUGCCGCCACAUGUUUAUUAUUUAUUUCAUUUCAAAUUCGAUCAUUUUCUUCUACCGUUCUCAAGAAAUGGCUAAGAAUGUACUGUCAAUUUCAGUACCGUGACUUUCUGAAAAUGAGCGCCAGGUGCCAUACUGAUUGACAUAGGUACUUGAUAAUUGGAACACUUGGAGAGUACAUCAAUAUCUUUCUGCCAUAUUCUACCAAUGCGUCUACGAUCGUUGGGCUGAGGCUUGAGAAGCGCAUCUCAAUGGUCACUGUCCUACAUACAUAUCACUAUUUCGGUGAAGCCACUCAUAGAUAUUUAUUCCUUUCCGACCUUUAAUGGAACGUGAUGAAAAUAAAUAGUUGCAGCUGAGUGUAGUAACGACAGAGCUUGCAAACGAACGUACCGGAUACAAGCAGAACGGGGAUACCCUGCUGAGGAAGAAGACGAUUUAAUUCAUCAGCUUCGGUGGCCGGCAGAAGUAACCAUCGCCGUUUCACGAGAUGCCUCGCGGAGUCUCUGCAAUCUCUGGCAGAACAUUUGGAGACCAUCAACUGUCGGUG